UACAGAGGGGGCGAGCGUUGUUCGGAAUUACUGGGCGUAAAGGGCGCGUAGGCGGCCAACUAAGUCAGACGUGAAAUCCCUCGGCCAACCGGGGAACUGCGUCUGAUACUGGAUGGCUUGAAUUCGGGAGAGGGAUGCGGAAUUCCAGGUGUAGCGGUGAAAUGCGUAGAUAUCUGGAGGAACACCGGUGGCGAAGGCGGCAUCCUGGGACCGAGAUUGACGCUGAUGCGCGAAAGCCAGGGGAGCAAACGGG
Molecule: ribosomal RNA, 253 nt
Filed under: uncultured bacterium
Lineage: Bacteria
Description: partial 16S ribosomal RNA
Rfam family: Bacterial small subunit ribosomal RNA
Source: RNAcentral